CAGCCGCCGCGGUAAUACGUAGGGUGCAAGCGUUGUCCGGAAUUAUUGGGCGUAAAGAGCUCGUAGGCGGUUUGUCGCGUCUGCUGUGAAAUCCCGAGGCUCAACCUCGGGCUUGCAGUGGGUACGGGCAGACUAGAGUGCGGUAGGGGAGAUUGGAAUUCCUGGUGUAGCGGUGGAAUGCGCAGAUAUCAGGAGGAACACCGAUGGCGAAGGCAGAUCUCUGGGCCGUAACUGACGCUGAGGAGCGAAAGCGUGGGGAGCGAACAGGAUUAGAUACCCGAGUAGUCCCUGUCUCUUAUAC
This 301-nucleotide ribosomal RNA is filed under the name uncultured bacterium. RNAcentral describes it as "partial 16S ribosomal RNA". It matches the Rfam family "Bacterial small subunit ribosomal RNA", at positions 509 to 807 of the family's 1533-position model. The record is from RNAcentral.